GCUGCCUUUCUAUCAGCUAUUAUAGUUAACCCUCUUGAUGUUGCCAAGACAAGGUUACAGGCGCAGGCUGCAGGGGUUCCUUAUUCCCACCCACUUAGCAACAUCACUAGUCGAAUGGCGUAUUUUGGGCCAAACAUGAUGUUUGCUGAUCUUAGGUGUUCUCCAUCAUGCACGCGCGCUGGAGUUCAUGGAACAGUUUCGAUUUGCCCCCCUGAUUGUU
This 220-nucleotide unclassified non-coding RNA is filed under the name Hevea brasiliensis (rubber tree). Lineage: Eukaryota; Viridiplantae; Streptophyta; Magnoliopsida; Malpighiales; Euphorbiaceae. The record is from RNAcentral.